This 373-nucleotide ribosomal RNA is filed under the name uncultured organism. RNAcentral's name for it is "partial 16S ribosomal RNA". It matches the Rfam family "Bacterial small subunit ribosomal RNA", at positions 527 to 897 of the family's 1533-position model. The record is from RNAcentral.
AGAGGGUGCGAGCGUUAAUCGGAAUUACUGGGCGUAAAGCGCGCGUAGGUGGAAAAUUAAGUUGGAUGUGAAAUUCCCGGGCUUAACCUGGGCAGGUCAUCCAAAACUGGUUAUCUAGAGUACAGUAGAGGGAAGUGGAAUUUCCGGUGUAGCGGUGAAAUGCGUAGAUAUCGGAAGGAACACCAGUGGCGAAGGCGGCUUCCUGGACUGAUACUGACACUGAGGCGCGAAAGCGUGGGUAGCAAACAGGAUUAGAUACCCUGGUAGUCCACGCUGUAAACGAUGAGAACUAGCUGUUGGAGUCCCUAGAGGCUUUAGUGGCGCAGCUAACGCGUUAAGUUCUCCGCCUGGGGGAGUACGGCCGCAAGGUUAA